AUUUAUAUAGUUUAAAUAAAACAUUACAUUUUCAUUGUAAAAAUAAAAUAUAUAUUUUUAUAAAUU
This 66-nucleotide transfer RNA is filed under the name Melanostoma orientale. RNAcentral describes it as "tRNA-Glu". The record is from RNAcentral. Lineage: Eukaryota; Metazoa; Arthropoda; Insecta; Diptera; Syrphidae.